Rattus norvegicus (Norway rat) is the source of this 3498-nucleotide non-coding RNA. The record is from RefSeq and is a predicted model, not a curated record. NCBI's taxonomy places the organism in Eukaryota, Metazoa, Chordata, Mammalia, Rodentia, Muridae.
GGUCACAAUGCCUUUCAUAUUCAUGGUAACUGUCUCCUAGGUGAAAGGAGGCCAGGGAAGAUGGUCAGCAAGACCUCCUAAGACCUCCUACUUUUAGUCAAAGACCAAGGAAGCAGAGCAGCUACUACAGGCCACAAUAACUUCACAGGAGCUAAGGGAAUCAGGCCAGUAAACUCCAAAUAUUUGACUUCAUCAUGUCAUCUGAUGUAAAGAUCCAGAGGGGUAAAAGUUCAUCAGGGAGGAAGGACUGUAGGAGCCAGAGAGGUCGAGGACAACAGGAGAACACAGCCCAAAGAAUCAAGGUAAUGGUAGGAUCAAACCCCUUUCACAAAUCCACUUGGGAUGCUGGAGCCACAUAUCCUGAUUCCCGGAGCUUUGCACGGCAAAGCUGGUGCUAUUGAUUAUUGCAAGUGACACAGGUGGCUGCAACAAGGAGCACAGGUUAGUAUCAUGUGGUCCACAUAGCUUGAUGAGAUUUAUGCUUGGUCACAUGCUAGACUCUUCAUUACCGGCUUAAUGAUAGGUACCCUCUGGAUACAUUUGCCUCAUUAGCUGUCCCGAUCGUUCACUAGCUCUCAAAUAAACAAAACCAUGCCACUCCAUGAUAAUGCAGAGAGGAGCCUCGUGCUUAAUGUGUAAAGGAUACAGGUACGCUAAAAUGAAAACAGUCAAUCCCCAAUUUAUACUAAGAAGCAAUAACUAAAUCAAAAUUUACCUAAGGAUGUGAAUGUGCUUAAGUAUAUUUGCACAUAUAUUAUGUAUAAUGCAAUAUUUAUAAUUCAGACUUCUACUACAGUACAUCAGUGUACACAGGAAAUAAGUACUUACAUUUACCCAUACAGAAAUGUUAAGAGUAGCACUUACUUAGACUCUAGCUCAAUCCCCAGCAACAAAAUGUUGAUGUUUCAAAACAACUUUAUUCAUAACAAUUAAAACUCACAAACCUCACUAUCCAUCUGAUAACAGAUGGAUAAAUUAUGGCAUAGUCAUAUAUAACCAGAUCCUAUACACAUUUGGAGAAAAGAGGACAUACUCAAAGUAUUUGCUGUAUUUAUUCCAUUCAUAGAAAGUUCAAGAAUAGGCAAAAUUCAAGGAUGGUGAUACAGGGCAGAAAACUGCUUUACUUUUUGUAUCUGUUUGUAUGUAGUGAGGGAGAGGGGCAAUGAUUAUAGUUACCGGGAUAACUAUACUAGUAGAAACAUUGUGUUUCUGUUUCAUUGGUUUGUUUGAGGUCUUUGAGAUAGAGUCCCUGGCUGCCCUGGGACUCACUCUGUAGACCAAGCUAGCCUCAAACUCAGAGAUCUGCCUGCCUCUGCCUCCUGAGAAUAUUUUGAUAACAGAUCAUCUAUAUGUGAAUUAUGCGGUUAAGUCAUUGGGCUACAUUUUAAGAUUCUUAAAUAUAUUUUGUUAUAAGUAAAUUUUACUUCAAUUUUAAACAAGUAAAAAUAGGUUGCUCUAUUGGACAGUAUAUCCAUCAAAUAGUGCAAAACAUAUUUACUCUUUUCACUGUCUAUUAAUACAUUUUGUGUAAUUGCUAAAGUCCUUUAGCUAUUAAGCAAUAGUGGGUACCUUCACUAGCUGAUUGCAAGUAGAGCCUUCCUACACCUUUAUGUGGGAUAGCAAAAGCCAUGCUCCCUUCUAAGUAGAUGGAUUAUUACAUUUAAACAACAACAACAAAAACCCACCUAAGAUCUAUUGUAGAGUGUGUCAUGGCUUAGUGACCAACCAACCCAUGGAGGUAGGGUUUCACUUCCUUUGUCCUACUGGCUGUCAUACAGAAUGUAACCUUGUAACUACUUAAGACCUGCCCUACUAUCCAGAAGGAAACUGGGAAAGCUCAUGAGACCUGGGGGCAGUCAGGUCUAAGAAGGAACUAUUACUUGGACCAGGAGAAUUGCCAAGCUGAAGACAGAGCUCUCUCUUGGUAACACUGUCUCUGUCUCUCCUUUUCCCUUUAUACAAGCCUGUUUUCUCCAUUUCUUUCAAGCUGACCUCCUACCACACCAUGGUAUACAUUUUCAUGUCACACACACACACACACACACACACACACACACACACACACACACACAACAUAGAAUGAACAAAAAAAGAGAAAAUAAAAAACUCCAACAGUCAGAGGCUAAAUCACAUAACAUUUCAUUUUUCUUGCACAAGUCUACAGCUGCCACCACUGAUAUUAUUCAGUGACUUGUGGUAGCAGAGCCAGGAUGAUGAAACUUCCUCUUUCUUCCUUCAUUUGGACUCACGGGCACAAAAUGUCUGUUAUGACUCUAGACACUGUAUCUAUCCAAAGCCAAAAGAAACAAAGAAGGGUCACUAGUAUGACACUAGGAGUUUUGCUUAACAUGCCCAUCCAUGUUGAAGGUUAAAGAUGAGAAACUCAAGUAAUGAUCAGAGAAUUACCAUGCCAAUCAAGGCUUGGGUCCCUUCAGUGAGGCAAUGUGGAAUGGAGGUCAGCUAGGUUACAACAUGUCCACAACCCCACUGAAUUCUAGGAAUCCAUUUUAUCUGGAAACUUGAUAGCUAUUCGUGAUCAUGCCUGAACAGAAGUGAUGAAAGGCAUAUUUGAUUCCUUUAAAAAUUCAUUGAGGGACAGUGAUCAGGUGUGGGGAAAGAAAGGAAGGGAGAGGGCUGGGAGUGAAAGGGAGAUGGUAGGGAGGGCAUCUCAGGUGACUAGACAGAGGCUAGGGACAGGGGAGGAUAGGGAAGUCUAUGGGGUGACUCUAGCUGCGAUUCCUACCAGAGAGGGAUAUAGAGACUAAAGUGGGCACCUCCUGUAGCCAGGCAGGACUUUUGGUAGAGUAAUAAGGACAUCAACUCACCCACAACCUUCAACCCAAAAUUUGUCCCGCCUACAAGAUGUGCAGGGAUAAAGAUGGAGCCGAGAGUUAGGGAAUGGCUAAACAAUGAUCGGCCCAGCUUGAGACCUACCCUGUGAGAGAGAGCCAACCCCUGACACUAUUAAUGACACUGUGCUAUUCUUGCAGACAGGACCUUAGUCUUCCGAGAGGCUUCAUCCAACAGCCAAUGGAACCAAACUCAGAAACCCACGGCCAAACAUCAGGUGGAGCUCAGGGAGUCUUGUGGAAGAGAGGGGAAUAGAAGUAAGCAAGCUGGAGGUGACAAGGACACCACAAGUCCUACAUAGUCAGCUAACCUAGGACUAUAGGGACUCACAAAGACUGAACCACCAACCAAAGAGCAUGCAGGGGCUGGACCUAGGCCCCCUAUACAUUUACAGCAAAUAUAUGACUUGGUCUUUGUGUGGGUUCCCUAACAAAUGGAGCAGGGGUUGUUUCCAUCUCUGUUCCCUGCCACUGGAUCCCCUUCUCCUACACGGACUGGCUGGUUGGGCCUCAGUGGGAGAAUAUGUGUCCAGUCUGCUGGGACUAUCCCAUGGUGGGGAGGAAUCCAAGGGGAGCUCCCCUUUCUCUGAUGACAAGGAGAGGGGAAAAUGGGGGAGGGAUUUAUGAGAGUGGGACAGGGAGUAGGAGA